AAAUGCUGAGUUGGUCGUUUUCUACAUAUUGGAGGAAAUAAAAAAAAAAAAAUGAAAUGAAUUUUUUAUUUUAAAUAAAUAAAUAAAUUUCCAACUGUACACUAUUUAUCUCUCUCUCUCUUCGCCCUGCGGUCUAACAUCUUUUUUUUUUUUUGCAGAUGAUGUGCCAGAUUGUGUGCCACACACGUUUAUCAAUGGACUCAUUCAUCAGGUGUGAUGGCUCCUCAAAGCAGGGUUUUGCUGAAGUUGGCUUUCACUCUCUAUACCUGAAGGAUUAACCGAGGAAAUCCUAAGAUUUGUGACAAAGCUCCCAUCUCAACUUUAGAGCAACGAUAGACUUUUCAUGCAAUGACAUGAACCAGAGAGCACCACGUUUACAAGCCGCAAAUCUGAAGUGAGGUCACUGUAAACCAGCAGAGAAUGACAACCUGGUGCUCAGUCUCCACCUAAAAUACUGCGUCUUCAAAGGUGGUCGCCCAGGCCACCUGAAACACCACACUCUCCGCCUCCCCGCAGG
This is a long non-coding RNA of Cyprinus carpio carpio, 517 nucleotides long. The record is from Ensembl. Lineage: Eukaryota; Metazoa; Chordata; Actinopteri; Cypriniformes; Cyprinidae.